AAGGGUUGGUUAUUGUCAUCUUCACCUAUUCUGCUGUCAUGCUUCCUCUGAUUGCCACUGAUGGGGUCCAUCUCAUUCAAUAGCUAAAGUAAUAGGCCUGUGACUAAGGAAAAUUUCUUUGGUUUGGUAGCCAACUUUGUUGAAUUGUCAACAUUGAAGAAAAAGAAGAAAAAGUGUGCAAAUUAUCAAAUAUAAUAGGAUUUAGAAAGUGAGGUUUCGGCUAUAAAAGGAGAGCUUCAACUCUCAUUUCUACACACCAACAAAGAGAGAAAGAAAGAAAGAGUGAGGUUUCCCAGACAAUGUAUAAGAAAAUAGUCUGUGACAAAGAUAGAGAGUAAGCGAUAUUGUAGUGAGGUGGAAAUAUCAAAAGAGAGUUAUUUCUUUUGAGUGUUGUAGUGAUCUUUGGAGUAUUUUACUCGGACCUACAAAGUGUAAAAUUCCUUGCUUUAGUGAUAUCAGUUGCUCGUCUCGGGGCCAUGAUUUUUUCCUUUAUUCAAAAGGGUUUUCCACGGGUUUUCCAUGUAAAAAUGUUGGUGUCGUUGUCACUAUUUUAUUCUUGUUAAUUAUCGUAUCUCGGUGCUACUUUAUUAUUCUGCUUUUAUUAUCGUGAAUAUUAUUUCUGUAGGGUGUUUAUUCCCAACAACCACUGGUUUGAGACAAGUUGAUCACUUGGGAUUCUCCUGUGUCCAACAAACUUGGCCCUGCUUCCUGUUGCCUCUGAAUGGUAAGAUUGUUUCUGUUUUCAUUAAGAUGGGUGAAGCCAUUUUUGGUGCUGACAUUCCCUUCAUCGACAACUUUAUUUGACUUGGCAGCAGAUUUAGCUUUCACUUCUAUCCAUCCAUCAGGUUGUGCUUCUUGUUGGUGUUCUUUCUGCUCAAUGUGCCUUUUGUUUGAAGCUAGUUCAUUUACCUGAUUAUCUACCAUAUCUUUUUGUGUCCUCUCUUUGAUAGUCUGUCCUUUGUGCUGGCAAACUUGCACUACUCUUUGGUUCCUUCUUCCGUGCUGCUGUACUGGUGGUUGCUGUGCUAGGAACUCAUAUUUGUUUUUGCAAUUGUGCCCAAUCAGUAGACAUGUCUCACAAAACUCCGGUUCCCAUUCAUAUCCUACCUCUUGAUCAAAUAUUUCCCCAGCAGGGCUUUGUACCUUGAUUACUUUAGGUAGUGGUUUGGUAAUGUCCAUAUCUAUAAGAACUCUAGCAUAUGAUAUUCGAGCAAUGUUCGAUGUGUAAUCAUCAGCAUACAAAGGAGUACCCAAGCCACUGCUUAUUUUACUUAAAGACCUCAUUCCCCAAAAAUUUAGAGGAAGGCUUGGAAAAUUAACCCACAAUGGAACAGUUUUCAACACUUGAUUGUGAAAAUUGAACUCUGUUGUCCAUGAUUUCAUUAUAACAGGUUUAUUCUUAAUCAUAUUGGGGCCUGAAAGUAGUACCUGAACCCUUUCCUCUAUGCUCUGAAAUCGGAUGACGAAAUAGUCAUCGUUGUGGUAGUAUAUCUGGGGCUUAGCUUCCAAUUUUCAUUGUGCUGCGAUGAAUCUCUCCACUACUCCAAUCGAUGGGGAAUUACCAAUGACAUAUAGGAUAAUUGCCAUUUUCCACUUCUCAUUUUCUUCUGCUAUAUCCUCCUGUUCUAGUUUAACUACCUUUUGUCCUUCUUGUAAAAUAGGGGCAAUAUAUUAUAGGGGCAUUCCUUUUGAGGCCAAUUUAUUCCGAGCGACCACGCUUGCCCAAGUUUGGUUUCCACCAUUACCAGAUUGUUUCUCUGUAUUUACCUGAGCAUCACUUGUUUCCUUUGCGAUCAAUUUUCCAAUUGUAUUCCCUAGAGUAUGCACUUGUUUGGGACUAGAUUGGUAUCCAGUAUUGUUUGUGCCAAUAGGGCCUUGACCUCCUCUACUACUCCCACGAGUGUCGUUAUUGUUCAUCGGAGUCGUUUGUGGCCUAGGUUGUUCGUAUUUUAAAAAAUUCCAGCUUUAAUUGCAGGUUGCCUUAUUACCUGGCCUCCACCAUCAUUGUUGCUCUGAAUUCUAGGGUUACUGCCCACCCUCGCAAUUUUCAUCUUCCCUGCGUUCAUCGUAGGAGUGUCUGCAACUAUCUCUAGGUCGGCAGCUUGCCUUUCCGGUGAUACCUUGGCAUUUUUUCCAUUGUUCGAUCCAUUUGGUGGCUUACUAUUGCUGGAUCCCGCUUUGAGUUCAUCAAGUAGCUUCAGAUCUGUAAGUAGUACUUUGUUUGCACACAUUGAUGGUCGUCCCCUCCCCAUUCCGGCUGCCGGCGCACGUUAGAAACACACUAACGAGCGUUUCGCUUUCAAGAGAGAGAGGAUUCAUUUCCUUCACACACUUAUAAAUAAAGAAGAGUAACUCACCCUCUUCCCUAUCCCUGCCAAAAAACAAAAUCUCCAUAUAAGCAAAUAAACAGAAAAGGAGAAGGAGAAAAAUAAAGUGAUUUCAAAUAGAGGAGGCUUCUUUUAAUUUUCCUACAAAAGCACUUGCAACUCUUUCUUUCCACAUAAUUAGUUUCAAAAAAUAAAGAAUAUUAGUUUUAUGAAGCAUUUAAAAGAGCAAUAUAUGUCAAGAAUCAGUAAAAGGAACAUAAUCAAAUAGGGUAAAUAAAUACAUUGAUUUCCACACGUCAAGCCGCUAGUGAAAUUUUAUUUAAAUAGCAGUUGGCUUCUUAGUAUAGAGUGCAACAUAUAUCAAGAUCUAAAACUUUUAAAUGAAAUUUGAUCUAUUUAACACUUUCAAUAUUAGAAAAAGUGAACGUGAAAGCAUAACAUUUCUACUCUUGUGACGACUUUGAAGUUACUGACUACUUUGAAAAGUUUAAAUUCUUGAUCUUUCACCCUCAAACACCUAUAAUCAGAUUUUGUAACUAUUAUAUGACCCAAAAAUUAAAGGAAAAAACAAGAGAAGAUAUAUUGUUAAAGUAUAACUAAACAUACUUUGAUUGACACUGUGAUUUGUUAGUCUUAAUGUUAAGAGUGACUUCCAUAUUUGUAUCUGAGACUCAUAUGAUAGAACGUCAUGAACGAUAUUAUUUUGUUAUGGGAUCCACUGAAAUAGAUAGACAUCAGCAUAUAUUAAAUAUUAGUGCUUCUCCAAUGAAAUAAAAAUAAUAAUAAAAGGAUGAAUACCAACAGAAAUGGAAAUAUUUAAUAGACCGGUUUCACCAAUCAGUAGAGCAACAUAUAUGUUGUUUCAGAAAAGCUAUCAAAUAAAUACAGUUAAAUGGAUAAAAGCUUAUAUCCAGAAGAAAAAUAUUGCAAGGAAAAGAAUAUUACUACCACAACAGAAAAUAAUUUGCCUCUAAAGAAUAUCCCCUUGAGUUACAGUUUAAUGGUCAAGAUGUCAAGAAAUAUAAGAGGAGUUGUACAUACAUUUUGUUUUUGUGAUGUGAUAACGCUGGACAAGAACCAAUCUAGACUUCUGAGAAUUGAGAUUUUGGAAAGACACAAAUGGUAUAAUAUAGACAUUUGACCCUUUGUUGGCAAAUUACACACAUUUAAUAGAGACCUUAAAUGGGAAGGGAAGAAGAACCGAAUUGGUUAGGGAAUUGAUCUGAUUGGUAGUAAAAAUUGUGAUUUAUGCUAAACGUCGUCACUGUUCGCCUGUCGCACCAUUAUUGUCAUUAAUUAAUAAUUAAUUUAUCUAUUGUUGAUAUGUAACUGUUGCACUUGUCGCAUUCCUUCGUAGAUAGAUAAUUAAGAUUUAAGAUGAAUAACACAAACUUUUUAGUAGGAAAAGGCCAAAAACAUGAGAAUAUAUAUAUAUNNNNNNNNNNNNNNNNNNNNNNNNNNNNNNNNNNNNNNNNNNNNNNNNNNNNNNNNNNNNNNNNNNNNNNNNNNNNNNNNNNNNNNNNNNNNNNNNNNNNNNNNNNNNNNNNNNNNNNNNNNNNNNNNNNNNNNNNNNNNNNNNNNNNNNNNNNNNNNNNNNNNNNNNNNNNNNNNNNNNNNNNNNNNNNNNNNNNNNNNNNNNNNNNNNNNNNNNNNNNNNNNNNNNNNNNNNNNNNNNNNNNNNNNNNNNNNNNNNNNNNNNNNNCUUGAAAUAUAGAUGAAACAUCAGAGAUGACAGUUUCGGGAACAAAGCUUCCAGGCACAACAAUGAUGAGAUAAAAAAGCAAGUAAAUAAAAUUGUAUUAAGCUUUGUAUACAAUACAAUGUAAGUUUAGCCAGAAAAUUCGUAUCAUUCCAAUGAUCACUGAACUUAUUAUUUAUACCUAUGAAGAAGGUACUAGGAUCGUGCUCUUCUUUAAUGUCAAUUAUGAUGAGCAUUGAUGAAGAUGUAACGGUGAACAUAAAUACCAAAUUCUCUGUAACGGACCGUCGUUCUUAAUGCUGUAGAAUAUUUCUUAUUAAAUGUUACCGGGCGCAAAACAUUUAAUGCCUUUAUGAACAUUAUCUCUUCCGGUGACAAACGAAAUAGCUGCGCCCGGUCUUCGGUCCUCCCCGUCUUGGGUUCCACGUGUCCCCUUCUUGGGUGGCCAUGCGCCAUAACAUAUUUUACCUAAUACAGAUAGUCCCCCUGCUUUCCGGUGACAUAACUUCGUGUUACCGGGAAGUUGGUAGAAACACUCUUUUGGUGAAAAUUACUAUAAUUCCUUUUGAAGGACACUGUCGAUUGAUUAGACGUCUGUCCCUCCAUAUCUAAUGCCCCGAACAUGCGUCUUCCCAUGAUUUAGCACGUCUUUUGUCGGUUAUCGAGGUAAUCCUCGCCAAGGAUUUAGCCGCCAAAACUUUUACUUAUACGUAUCAACUUCCCCCCUUGUACUCCAACUUCCUUCAUCUAAUCUCGCCUACUGUGUCUUCAUCUUCUUCAAACAAAAAACCCUUUUUCUUUUUCAAUGGCUUCCUCCUCAAAACGUACUGGUUCUUCAAAAAGACUCAAUACCACAAAGGAUUUUGAAGAGAAAUUCCCUUCUGCUAACCCUCGUACAUGGGCUGUUAGUAGGUACACUUCUUCUAUCCGUCCUUCCAGUAUUCUUGUUGUGAAGGAAGAUUGUCAUUGCAAUGAGUUGGAUAUAAUCGCUCCUGAUCUAUCAGAGCGAGUGACCCUUCCCGAGGAAGGUUUUACAUACUUUUACACGUAUCUCUUUACUUUGGAUGUGUUUUCUUUGAGUAGAAAGCUCGAUUCCGUGAUUACGGAAUUUUUCCUUCACUAUCAGGUGUGUUUGGCACAGGUAAAUCCUUCUGUGUGGAGGACGGUUGCCUGCCUUCGACGCUUGUGCCAGGAGACUGGAGAAGAGCUAAUAUUAGCUCACAUGAUGAAUCUCUACUCCCCCAAGUUUUUUUUUUUGGGGGAGGGGGGAGGGUGGGAGAGGUAUGAUAAAUCUCUGCAAACGGGGUCACCAUGCUUUGUUGACUAACAUGGAUGAUGAUAGUGACCGCGGAUGGCUGGAACGGUUCACUGCGGUUGCCACUAAUAGUAUCGGUCCAACUACGGUUUCAUCCUUUCCGGCCGCUAGGAACCGUACUCGUAAAAUCUCUAAUAUAUCUUCUUUCAUUAAAUAUUCUUCUAUGGCCGUAUCUUCAUUCUUCGUAUGUUUCAGCAACUCGAUGGGUCCCAUCGGUGGUGGAAGGCUUAGACCGAUGGGUUUAGAAGAUUUUGGACAUCACGAUGUCUGAUACUCGCUUGUGGAAAGGACUGGCCCGGAAAUACGGGUGGAAGGCCAAAAAUCCAAUCUAUUCCCAUAAUUACAUCAAAAUAAACCAUUCCCAAUUCACUGAGAUCGGUCACGGUGUCCCGACCACAUAUUGUGACAACACAACCCCUAUAAACCCGUGCGGCCACAAUAGACUCGCCAACCAGAGUAGAUACCGAGAGCGGCUCAGGAAGCUGUUCCUGUUCUAUCCCAAAUUCCAUAGCAACAUAAGGGGUAACAUAGGACAAAGUGGAACUGGGAUCAAUAAGAGUAUAUACAUCAUGAGUUUGGACAGUCAAUAUACCUCUGACAACAUCUGGAUAAGCCUCUGGUGCUGGAGGGCCUCGAGCUGGAGGGAGUGCUGAAGAUGUAGCAGCUGCAGAACUGGAUGGCUGUGUUGUGCCCCUGCCCGCACCCUGGCGAGAUGAACGACACUCCCUCUGGAUGUGACCCUCAAUCCACACCCAUAACAUAUAGGUAAGUCCAAGUAGCAGAUCCCCGAGUGCAUCCUCCCACACCUGGGGCAUGGCGGCCUUCGCUGUUGCGGGAAUCUCCCUCCUGAUCGACCCUGAUGGUGGGGUCCCCUGCUGCCCUGAUUGGGCCUGAAGUGACUCCCCUACUGCUGACUGUGCCCCGCUGGCGGUGCACUGGCUGAAGACUGAGCAUGAGAUUGGGUUGGCUAUGAUGACCCUCCCCUGAAAGCUGAUCUUCCCCCACCAAAUAUCUCCCCAAAGUUGCCCGCGGACCGGGCCUUGCUGGUAUCCUCUCGCUCCCUUCUGUUCUUCCACUUACGGUCCUCUGUAGCUUGAUAAAAUGCUACCAUCUUCCCAUAGUUUAUGUCUGAAUUCAAGGCAGCUGUAGCGGCUUCAUUGAUAACUAAGGGGCUAAGGCCCUGCAUAAACCGGCGCACUCUAGCCUCCAUAGUAGACAACAUGAGCCCAAGAUUGGUGAAGCAAUUUAUCGCACCGAGCGUGGACCCUGAGCAUAAGAGAAUGUUUGUUCUCACAGUCCCGGAGGAUACCCGUUUACGAGCUCGAAACACGCACCUAAAUUAUGCUCGCUAAUCAAAUAUAGUAUAGUAUAAUAUCGUAUCCACAAGGAUUGAAUUUAAAUAUUAUUCUCAUAGUUUCUAGCUUGCUUUCUAUCCAAGAUGAUCCACAAUUGAAAUUUAUAUGAUUUCUACUAAAAUUAAUUAUGAAUCUAAUGAUAUUGACUAUUGAAAAUCGAAACAAAGAUAAGCAAGGAAGUUCUCACUGGGAGAAAGUAGGGGUUGAUAGGAUAGGUCCAAGAUAAUUGUUCGGGAUCUAACUCUAGAUAUUCACUUCUAAUGUUCAAGUGAGUCUCUUGAAUUCACUCAAUUAUUAAUUCAAACAUUCAACAAAAAAUCCUCUCUCAAUUAAGUCUUAACCUCACGAGAUGAAUCAAUUUAAGAACCUGAAGAUAUGCAAGAAUUAGUUGAUUGGUCUUUAGGAAAAGCUCUUUCAAUUAUUCUCCUAACUAGGUUUAAUCAAUGAUUGAACUAGCCUCUUUCAAUUACUAAGAAGAAUUAAUGAACUUAACCAACAAUAUAAUGCAAAGAUAUCACAAGUUAUGCCUCUCUCGAUUACAUGAAUGAGUGAAUAUAAAUGCAACAAUUAAAUCAUCCAAAAACACUUCAAUACAUAAAACUAGAGUAUAAUCCACAAACAAUCAUCAAUACACCGAAUCCAUCAAACCCUAAAGAGAACUUACUCCCUAGAUAUGGAGAAAUUCAUCACAAAUAAAGUUAAAGUAUAGGGAAACAUAAAUUCAAUCCAAACUCGUGUCUUGAGUUAGGAAGGAAUGAUGAAAUCCUUGUGCUCGUGUUCUUCCAACUCCUCCUUAGCCUCCUUAGGUCGAAUAUGUGUCAAAAGUCCAAAAAAUAGCGUUUUCCAUGUACUUAUACCAAGUAGGGUCGGGCCCAGACGAAAUCAUCUUCUCCUAACCGAAAUAGGAAAAGUACUUUGUAAAAAUUGCAGAGGCGCGCCACAUGGGUUGACGCGCCAUGCAGGGCAUUAAGCGGGAAAUUCAGAGUGCUUGUUCUAACAAGCAGUAGAGAAUGGCACAGGCGCGGCGCCUGGCAAUGGAGAUUUCUCAGAGUGCAUACCAACUUCGAUUUUUGACGUCCAAACUUAAUCCUCGAUCCCCAAACACGAUCCCGACUUAAUUCCUUGGGCUUCUACUCAGGCUUUAAAGAUCCAAAUCAUUUGAACAUUCCACAACAUCUACAUAGCUUAAAAUCACUCUUACAAGGCAUAAACACAUAAUAAGUGCAAAAUACUACCAAUUAAAGCUCAAACACAAGUAAAGUGCAGUGAAUUAGAGUGCAAUAAGCGACUAAAAUAUGGGAUUUUAACCUACCAUUAACACCCCACACUGAAACCAUUGCUCCUCCUCAAGCAAUCAAACUACACUCUACAUAGACACGACCUUUUUAAACAACUCUCAUAACUCAUCACACCAAGAAUAGCUAAAACAGAUUAAGCACUCUAACGUAACAUCCUUGCCUCAAGAUUUGACUCACAAACAUCACACAUUUUUCACAACCCUCUUACUUACUCGAACCCAGAGCUCAUUGACAUUACAUUUCCUUCAUGAAUUAAGUGCUCUCAUACAACAAUAGAGAGUAGUUCCACACACAAUUAAAUUUAACAACAUUCAUAUGCCACAAAAGACAUUCCAUAGGCUUGCCCGUAAUGUACUACUCUACUAAUUGAGCUCAUUCAGUCAAGGAUCAAGUAGGACUUUCAUUUGGUUGUAAUAUAAGCUGCGGGAUGGGUAGGAUAUAUUUCGAUAUAAGAGUGACUACACCUCCCUAAGCACUUUAAUACAUACAUUCCAUUGUUCAAAACCCCACAUUUAUGUAAAACAAAAACUCCACGUUCACCUUAAUAUAAAUUAACUCCCUACUUCUUUAAGCACAAUUACAUCAAGUUACCACUAUCAAUGAAUAUCGUUUCUUCACGACAAUACACCUACUUUUGUUUCUUUAUUUUUUUUUUAAUUCAAGUGGCUCUUAUUUUUUUUCAAUACAAUGCACCUUUCUCCUUAUUUCAUUAGUUCCACUCAAAAGCCAAACCAACCACCUCACACUUCAAUUUUUACAAAGUUCAUAACAAAUUCAAGUGCUCACGACAUGUACAAGGUUCAAAUAGAUGGUCAAUUAGAACAAAUGGAUAAGGAUUAUAAUGUGGUUACCAAAGAAACAUGAUGGCUCAAAGGGGUUAACUACGAUACAUAACAAUUAGGUGGGUAAAUUCUUAGAAUUGGCUCAACAAAGAAAUGCCAAUAUAACUCCCAAGAUUGAAUACAACUACUAUUUUAUUUUGUAAACACACGAGGCAAGUUCUAGACAUCAAAUACAAUGCAUAGAAUACACAAAACAUAACACACACAUGGCACACACCUCACUCAGGAUCAGAUUCAUCGAGACACUCUAGUCAAAGCAAGUAAGCAAAUUUAAGAUCAAACAAUUUAAGGUACUUCUACAAGAGUCAAAAAUUGAGCCUAAGCGUCACAUUAAAGUGCUCACACUAUUCUCAAGGUAGUGUAUUAAAGCUACCAAUUAAAGCUCAAACACAAAUAAAGUGAAAAAUACUACCAAUUAAAGCUCCAACACAAGUAAAGUGCAGUGAAUUAAAGUGCAAUAAGUUACUAAAAUGACCAAGUAAAGUGUCACAAUUGUUUUUCUAUCUAGGGCUCGUAUGGUAGCACUUGUUUCAUAGAAGCCCGAGUCAUACACAAAUCUAAACCCUUAACCUGCGCACAAUCAACGAACACCAAAUGUAAAAAGAGAAAAUAAAAAUAGAAAAAAAAAAUUCCUGAAUUAGCACUACAAACUAUUUCAAACACUAUUGAUUGCCAAUCCCCAGCAAAUGUGCCAAAAUUUGACGAGCUCGAAACAAACACCUAAAUGAUGCCCGCUAAUCAAAUAUAGUAUAGUAUAAUAUCGUAUCCACAGGGAUUGGAUUUACAAAGUAUUCUCGUAGUUUCUAGCUUGGUUGCUAUCCAAGAUGAUCAACAAUAUAGAUUUAUAUGAUUUCUACUAAUAUUAACUAAAAAUCUAAUGCUAUUGACUAAUGACAAUCGAAAAAAAGAUAAGCAAGGAAGUUAUCAGUGGGAGAAAGUAGGGGUUUAUAGGAUAGGUGCAAGAUAAUUCUUCGGGAUCUAACUCUAGAUAAUUCACUUCUAAUGUUCAAGUGAGUCUCUCGAAUUCACUCAAUUAUUAGUUCAAACGUUUAGCAAAAAACUCCUCUCUUGAUUAUGUCUUAACCUCACGAGAUGAACCAAUUUAAGCACGUGAAGAUGCAAGAAUGCGUAGUGGAUUGGUCUUUAGGAAAUCCUCUUUUGGUAAUUCUCCUAACUAGGUUUAAUCAAUGAUUUAACUAGCCUCUUUCGAUUACUAAGAAGAAUUAAUGAACUCAACCAACAAUAUAAUGCAAAGAUAUCACAGGUUAUUCCUCUCUCGAUUAGAUGAACAAGUGAAUAUACAUGCAACAAUUAAAUCAUCCAAAACGCUUCAAUACAUAAUAAUAGAGUUAUAAUACACAAACAAUCAUCAAUACACCAAAUCCAUCAAACCCUAAAGAGAACUUACUCCAAAGAUAUGGAGAAAUAUAUCACAAAUAAAGUUAAAGUAUAGGAAAAACAUAAAUUUAAUCCAAACUCGUGUCUUGAGUGAGGAGAAAUGAUGCAAUCCUUGUACUCGUGUUCUUUCAACUCCUCCUUAGCCUCCUUAGGUCGAAUAUGUGUCAAAAGUCAAGAAAAUAACGUUUUCCCAUGUAUUUAUAUCAAGUAGGGUGAGACCCUGAUGAAAUCACCUUCUCCUAGCCGAAAUAGGAAAAGUACUCUGCAAAUAUUGCACAGGCACGACACCCAACGCGUCGUGACAGUGGAGAUUUCUCAAAGUACGGACCAAACUUUGAUUUUUGAUGUCCAGACUUGAUCAUCGACUCCAGAACACGAUCAUGGCUUAAUUCCUUUGGCUUCUACUCAGUCUUCAAAUCUCUGAAUCACUCGAAUUCAUUUCACAACAUCUACAUAGCCCAAAAUCACACCUACAAGGCAUAAACACACAAUAAGUGCAAAAUACUACCAAUUAAAGCUCAAACACCAGUAAAGUGCAGUGAAUUAGAGUACAAUAAGCGACUAAAAUACGGGAUUAUAGCCUACCAUCAACACCCCACACUUAAACCAUUGCUCGUCCUCGAGCAAUCAAACUGCACUUCAUAUAGAGACGACCGUUUUAAAAAACUCUCAUAACUCAUCACAUUAGGAAUAAUUAAAACAGAUUAAGCACUCUAACAUAACAUCCUUGCCUCAAUAUUUGACUCACAAGCACCACACACCUUUCAAAACCCCCUAACUUACUCUAACCUAGAGGUCAAUGACAUUAUUUUUCCUUGAUGAAUUAAGUUCCCUCACACAAUAAUAGAGAGUAGUUCCGCACACAAUGAAAUUUAAGAACAAUUAGGAACUCAAGAUAGAAAGAAUUCACUCACUCUAAGAAACAACAUUCAUAUGCCACAAAAGACGAACAAUUGGCUUAACCGUAGUGUACUACUCUACUAAUUAUGCUCAUUCAGUCAUGGAUCAAGUAGGACUUUCAUUUAGUUGUAAUGUAGGUUGCGCGAUAGGUAGGAUAUAUUUAGAUAUAAGAGAGACUACACCUCCCUAAGCACUUUAAUAAAUACAUUCCAUUGUUCAAAACCGCAUACUAAUGUCAAACAAAAACUCCACCUUUACCUCAAUAUACAUUAACUCCCUACUUCUUUAAGAACAAUUACAUCAAGUUACCACUAUCAAUGAAUAUCAUUUCUUUGCGACAAUACAACUACUUUUUUUCCUUUUUUUUCAAUUCAAGUGGCCCUUAUUUUUUUCAAUACAGUGCAACCUUUUCCUUAUCUCAUUAGUUCCACUCAAAAGCCAAACCAACCACCCCACUUUUCAACUUUUACAAAGAUCAUAACAAAUUGAAGUUCCCCGGCAACAACGUCAAAAUUUGAUGAGCUCGAAACACACACCUAAAUUAUGCUCGCUAAUCAAAUAUAGUAUAUUAUAAUAUCGUAUCCAUAUGGAUUGGAUUUAAAUAGUAUUCUCGUAGUUUUCAGCCUUGUUUCUAUCCAAGAUGAUAAAAAAAAUGAGAUUUAUAUGAUUUCUAUUAAAAUUAAUUAAGAAUCUAAUGUUAUUGACUAAUGCUAAUCGAAACAAAGAUAAGCAUGGAAGUUAUCAGUGGAAUAAAGCAGGGGUUGAUAGGAUAAGUGCAAGAUAGUUGCUCGGGGAUCUAACUCUAGAUAAUUCACUUCAAUUGUUCAAGUGAGUCUUUCGAAUUCACUCAAUUAUUAGUUCAAANNNNNNNNNNNNNNNNNNNNNNNNNGUUUAGUCAAUGAUUCAACUAGCCUCUUUCGAUUACUAAGAAGAAUUAAUGAACUGAACCAACAAUAUAAUGCAAAGAUAUCACAAUUUAUGCUUCUCUCGAUUACAUAAACAAGUGAAUAUAAAUGCAACAAUUAAAUCAUCCAAAGAUGCUUCAGUACAUAUAACUAGAGUUAUAAUCCACAAACAAUCAUCAAUACACCAAAUCCAUCAAACUCUAAAGAGAACUUACUCCAUAGAUAUGGAAAAAUUCAUCACAAAUAAAGUUUAAAGUGUAGGAAAAUAUAAAUUCAAUCCAAACUCGUGUAUUGAGUGAGGAAGGAAUGACAAAAUUCUUGUGCUCGUGUUCUUCCAACUCCUUUUUAGCCUCCUUAGGUCGAAUAUGUGUCAAAAGUCCAGAAAAUAAUGUUUUACAUGUAUUUAUACCAGUAGGGUCGGGCCCAGAUGAAAUCACCUUCUUCUAGCCGAAAUAGGUAAAGUACUCUAUAAACAUUGCACAGGUACAUCGCCCCAUGCGUCGCGGCAGUGUAGAUUUCUCAUAGUACGGACCAAACUUUUAUUUUUGACGUCCAGACUUGAUCCUCGACUCCCGAACACGAUCCUGGCUUAAUUCCUUGGGCUUCUACUCAGGACUUAAAGCUUUAAAUCACUCAAAUUCAUUUCACAAUAUCUACAUAGCUCGGAAUCGCUCUUAAAAGGCAUAAACAUAUAGUAAGUGUAAAAUACAACCAAUUGAAGCUUAAACACAUGUAAAAUGCAGUGAAUUAUAGUGAAAUAAGCAACUAAAAUACGGGAUUAUAGCCUACCAUCACCCGAAUCCUGUCUGCUACGGUGGGUGUAGCCAGCUACCUCCGAUAACUAGUGAACGAGGAGGACAAUGCAAAGCUAAACGAGGUGGGCACUUCAAGUCUCUUCAACGAGGCGCAUAAGGCGCUAGACCGAGUAAAAUGCUAACACUUUCGCACCACUUUAUGAAUCCCACUUAGGUUUUUCUUUGAUGUCUCUUACUAAAUUCACUGUCUUAUAGGCUUCAAUGCUUCACCAUGAAAGCUUCCUCUUGUACCGUUUUGAAAUUAACCAGCUCGAGUUUGAGCUUAAAGAGUAGGUCUGGAAGAAGGACAUGUAUAGGGCUCUCAGUGAGAAACAGGGCGAGACAUUUAAAUACCUCCCGAUUCUCUAGGCCGAGCUAAAAAAUGCUCAGAAGAAAGCCUCGGCCCUAAAGCGGCAACACGCCGAACUGGUUGAGAAGGUAAAGGUAUUUGAAGCUAAAAACGAGCAGCUAUUCGUGGUGACUAAAAACACAACUUCGCAGGUCUAACAGAAGAUAGACCUGAUCGACAAGUUGCGGGCUGAGAUGUAUGAGGUCAAGGCCCAAAUCUAAGUGUGGAAAGUAGGAUGGACCGGCUGGUCUCGGAGAAGGAAGAUGCGAAGGCAAAUUUGGCGUUGGUCGAGAACAAACUUUGGUUGGCGAAGGACAAAGCCGAUAAGUGUUCUAGGUUGAAUGAUGAUCUUCGAGCACAACUGAGCUCGGUCGUCGGGGAAUGGGAUGCUCUCGAAAGAGAAAAUACUGCACUGGGAGCCAGAUAGGACACAACCUCUGCUAACGUCGAAGAAAUAGUGGCUCAGUACAAGGCCAAUGUGGAGGCAGCCGAGACCCGCUCAAAGACAAAAACAAAAUACAUGAAGCGGCUAUCCCGGAGAGAUAUCCUCAAAUAGAUUAACGCCUGAGGUUUUGACCUAUUGACCGAGGUCGAGGAAGCUAGGAGGCUCGAGGCCGAGGUGAAGGAACUAUACGAGCCUGAGUGUCCCGAAGGUUCCGAGGGAUCUGAGGACUGCGACAGUUCUGGCGAUGAGUCGGGCCCCAGUGAAGACCAGGCGUAGGUGCCUUAGUAUUUUUCCAGCUUUUCUUAUGCAUUUAUUUAUUUAUUUAUUUAUCUAUUUUUUUUAUCUAGAGGCCGUUUUGUCGGGCCCUUGUAAAUAUAUUUUGGAAUGUAUAUUGUUUUUCUUUUUUUGGCAAUAACGUGUCUCUACUUUUCCAGCAUCUUCUUGCAAUUUUUAUUUGUGUAUUAUUUUUUAUGCCUUAGCAUAGAAUCAGAUGUAGUUCUGGGGCAUUCGUUUUUCGGAGAUUCGAACGAAGCCCGACCUUAACGCAACUUUGUUUUCUUGUGGCUUCGAGCCCUCGGUGAGAUUGGGAGUUUUUAAGAUGCUUAAGUGUCUUUGGAUGAUGUUUUUGCCAAUGAUAACCUUUUAAUAGGUUUUGAAUUAUCGUAAGGGCCUUACUUUCUGGUUCUAGACUUCGGACAUCUCCGAGCCAUUUUUAGGGUGGUCGUAGCCUUUUAUAUUUGUGCACUGCCUAAUAGGUUUGGUGCCUCCAGCAGGGGUAGCCCGUAGGCUCAAUAGUCCCCAACUAGUGGUAGCCCGUAGGCUUUAAGGAUCCGGGAUUGAAGAGACAAAACGCGUAAUGACAAAGUGUAAGGGAAGUGGAAAUUUCUUUCAUUUCCUGGUAAAGGUACAUGAUUGAAACCGGAUAAAAACUUGUGCCAUGGCUAGAGCGGACUAUGUGGGCAUGAUUCAUACGACUGUUUGGCCCUUACAAUGAAUCCUAACUGCCCCACCAUAGAUUUUAUGACAUUAUGUUUUCGUCUUCUCCUACUAAAGACCUUAAUCCAAGGGUAAUGGCCCUUAGUAUUUGAGAUCAAACUCGUGAGGGCUCGGAUAAUGUUGAUUUAAAGUUAACAAGCAUCAACUACGAUCUGAAACCGGUCUUCAAAUCUAAGUUAGUACGUUUUACUAUCGCCUUGUUAAAACCUUGCCGAAAAACCCAUUUUGGGACAAAUCGGUUCAAGGAAAAAAGAGUGCAACGCGUGCUUUCAGACAUAAUAGUCACAUCCGCCUAUGGCCGUUUACCCGCAUAUAUUAGUCCGAUUUAUAACAUGAUUAAAAAUAAUUGAAUUCGUUCCUUAGCAGUAGUACCGCUUUAAGUGUGCCACGUUGUAGUUGUUAGGUAAUUGUACGUCAUUUCCCGCUUCUAGUUUAUACGAGACUUUGCCGAUUAUUCCGACAACCCGAUAUGGUCCUUCCCAGUUCGGUCCCAACUUCCCCUUGUUCGGGUUCCUGGUGUGUAAUGUUACUUUCCUCAACACCAACUCCCCGACUUGAAAGUGUCGCAGGCUGGCUCUUCGGUUGUAGUACCUUUCUAUUCACUAUUUCUGGGCCGUCAACCGGACCAAGGCGGCCUCCCGCCUUUCAUCCAAUAGUUCCAAGCUGGUGAUUAUGACCUCGCCAUUUGACUCUUCUGUUGCAUAUUGGAACUUAAGGCUCGGUUUUCCCACUUUGACUGUUAUUAAGAAUUCGACUCUGUAAACCAACAAAAACAGGGUGGCCCCGGUAUUAGAUUUUGAGGUCGUAGGGUAUGGCCACAGGACUUAGGGCAAGAAUUCCUUCCAUUUCCCUUUCGCACCGGUCAACCUCUUUUUCAGUUUUUAAAGUAUGGUCUUGUUUGUUGAUUCUACCUGCCCAUUCCCACUAGGGUGAUAAGGUGUUGAUUGUAUUUUUUUGAUCUUGUGAUGUUCGAAAAAUUUAUUUACUUUGUUGUCGAUGAAUUAUUUUCCAUUAUCACAAACGACCUUGACUGGUAUCCCAAAUCUACAUAUUAUGUUGUCCUAGAUGAAGUCAAUGACUUCUUUCUCCUGGACCUUUUCGAACGCUUGAGCGUCGACCCAUUUGGAAAAAUAAUCGGUCAAGAAUACUAUGAACUAAGCCUUAUGGGGUGCCCAUGGUAGGGGACCUACGAUGUCCAUUCCCCACUUCAUAAAUGCCCACGGGAACAAAAUCGAGUGGAGCAUUUCUCCUGGUUGAUGGAUCAUUGGGGCGUGUCUCUGGAAGUCGUCGCAUUUCCGAAUGAAUUCCUUCGCAUCUUUCUCCAUUUCGGUCUCGGUUCUAAUUAACUUAUGAACCAAAGAUUCUACCCCCGAAUGGUUCUCCCAAGUGCCUUCGUGAACUUCUCUCAAGGCGUAUUCGCUAUCUCCCAGUCCAAAGGAUAUAGCUAGCAUGUCGUUGAAGGUUCUCUUGAACAAUGCCCCUUCGACCAAGCUAAAUCUGACAGCCUUGGUAUUUUCCGAGGGCAAUUUUCCUAUUUUCAAGUAGUCUAUGUACUUAUUCCUCCAAUUCCAAGUUAAACUCGUUGAGUUUACUUUGGCGUGGCCUUCUUCUAUCGCCGACUUCAUGAGUUGCACUACUAUUCCCGAACUGAAUUCAUCGGCAUCAACCGACGAUCCCAAGUUAUCUAGAGCAUCAGCCUCACUGUUCUGAUCUCGGUGUACGUGCUACAGGGUCCAUUCCCUGAAAAUAUGCAGCAUUACCUAUAAUUUGUCUAAGUACCUUCGCAUAUGUUCCUCUUUUACUUCGAACGUCCCAUUAACUUGAUUUACCAUGAGGAGGGAGUCACACUUACCUUCGAUCACCUUGGCCCAAAGGCUUUUAGCCAAUUCAAGACCUGCAAUCAUGGCUUCAUACUCGACCUCAUUGUUAGUAAAUUUCAUAGUUCUAAUAGACUGCCUUACUACAUUACCUGUAGGUGGUUUCAAUACAAUCCCGAGAACAGACCCCUUCGCAUUCGAGGCACCGUCCGUGAAGAGGGUCCAGAUUCCUGAAGUGAUCCUCGAGGUUAACAGUAGUUCCUUUUCGACUUCGGGUACCAAAGCUGGCGUAAAGUCAGCCACGAAGUCUGCCAAAAUUUGAGAUUUUAUGGCUAUUCGGGGUCGAUACUCGAUAUCGUACCCGCUAAUUUCCACCGCCCAUUUGGCCAGCCGGCCCAAGAGCUUGGGUUUGUGCAUGAUGUUCCUUAGUGGGUAAGAAGUAACGACACAUAUGGGGUGGCAUUGAAUGUACGUCUUUAGCUUCUUGGAGGCACUUAGCAAAGCGAGCGCUAAUUUUUCCAGGUUAGGAUACCUUGAUUCGGCCUCGCCUAGAGUUCUACUGACAUAGUAAAUAGGUAAUUGCGUAACUUCUUCUUCUCGAACUAAGACUCAAUGUACCGCUACCUCGGGAACUGCCAAGUAGAGGUCCAACAGUUCGUCUGCCUUUAGAGUGUGCAAUAGGGGCGGACUCGACAUGUACCGUUUGAGUUCUUCCAAAGCUUGUUGGCAUUCUGGGGUCCAGGAGAAAUUAUCCUUCUUUUUUAACAGUAGGAAGAAUCGAAUGCUUUUGUUUGAGGACCUCGAGAUGAAACUGCCUAGGGCGGCUAUUCGCCUGGUCAGUCUUUAGACGACCUUGACAUUGUCCACCAUGGUGAUGUCCUCUAUGGCUUUGAUUUUGUCGGAGGUUGACCUCGAUUCCCCAAGCGGAUACCAUGAACUCGAGGAAUUGUUUUGAUCCGACCCCGAAUGUGCACUUAUCUAGGUUCAGCUUCAUAUUGUAGUUCUAUAGUAUGUCAUAGGUCUAGUGCUAAUGUUUCAUAUGGUCCUCUGCUUGCAGGGACUUGUCUAAUAUGUCGUUAGUAUGAAUUUCCAUUGAUUUUCCUAUAUGUUCUUCGAACAUCCGGUUUACUAGGCGUUGAUAGGUGGCACCAGCGUUCUUUAAUGCAAAUGGCAUUACAUUAUAACAUUAGGUGCUAAAUUUAGUGAAGAAAGAAGUCUUUUCUUGAUCUUCCAGGUCCAUCCAAAUUUGGUUGUACCCAAAAUAGGCUUUGAUAAAGCUUAGUAUUUGGUGUCCGGGCGUCACGUCGAUCAUCCGAUCAAUGUUAGGAAUUGGGAAAGAAUCUUUAGGGAAUGCCUUGUUCAGAUUCUUGUAAUCUACACACAUUCUUAGCUUAUUCCCUUUUUAGGUACUACCACUACGUUAGCUAACCGGUACGGGUAUUUAACCUCCCUGAUGCACUCUAUUUUAAGAAGGUUAGAUACCUCGUCCUUGAUGAAUGCAUGCUUGACCUUGGACUGCGUCCUCCUCUUCUAUUUAACCGGAUGGAACAUCGGGUCUAAACUCAGCUUAAGAGUGGUUACCUCUGGUGGGAUCCCUGUCAUGUCAAGAUAGGACCAAGCGAAACAAUCUAUUUUAGCUUUAAGAAAAUUAAUGAAUUUUUUCCUGAGCUCAAGGGUUAACCCCGUGCCCAGGUAUACUUUUCGAUCUGAUAGGUGUUCGAUUAGUAUGACUUUCUCUAACUCCUCGACCAUCAAUUUUGUGGCAUCGGUGUCAUCAAGAACUAUGAACGAUCUCGGGACUCUGUAAUCUUCCUCCUCGUCUAUUCCUCAUUUCUACGGUUUGGCCGAGACUGGCAUUAGUGAUUGCUAUUUAGUUUCUUCCUUGGCUAGACUCACAUUCCUUGACGUCGAAACAGCGGGCAUCGGGAUUACCUCGUCGACCGCAAAAAUAUCCUUUACAAUCGGUUGCUCUCCGUAGACCGUCUUGAUUUCUCCCCGUGUAGGGAAUUGCAAUGCCUGGUGCAAGGUCGAGGGUACCUCCCUAAUGUUGUGAACCCACGACCUUCCGAUCAGAUCAUUAUACCUCAUGCCCCCUUCAAUCACGUUGAACUUUGUCUCUAGGAUCAUCCCGGUGGUGUUCAUCGGAAGGGUUAUCUCCCCUUUAGUGGUUUCACAUGCCAUGUUAAAUCCGUUCAAUACUCACACUGUCGGCACUACUUGGUUCUGUAGCCCCAAUUGCUCUAUGACCCUUGAUAUGAUGAUGUUGGUCGAGCUAUGUGGAUCAAUCAUAUAAUGACCCGACCGGUUGUUUUGAUAAUUAGCAUUCUUUUUAGCUAUUUGGAGUCUUGAUUAGCUUCAUAUGAUGUAUUAUGACUUGUGUAUAUCGUCGGUUUUGGUUUUCAGGUGUUUCAGAAUUAGUUUGGAAGUAUGAAUUUCAUGUUUGAAGCUUUAAGUUGGAAGAGUUGACCAUGUUUGACAUUUUAGUAUUUGACCACGG
RNAcentral lists this long non-coding RNA (18937 nucleotides) under Nicotiana tabacum (common tobacco). RNAcentral's name for it is "long non-coding RNA (NTAB_LNC004926)". Lineage: Eukaryota; Viridiplantae; Streptophyta; Magnoliopsida; Solanales; Solanaceae. The record is from RNAcentral.